RNAcentral lists this ribosomal RNA (361 nucleotides) under Shewanella algae. RNAcentral's name for it is "partial 23S ribosomal RNA". It matches the Rfam family "Bacterial large subunit ribosomal RNA", at positions 175 to 583 of the family's 2925-position model. The record is from RNAcentral. Lineage: Bacteria; Pseudomonadati; Pseudomonadota; Gammaproteobacteria; Alteromonadales; Shewanellaceae.
UGAGGCGAACGAGGGGAACUGAAACAUCUAAGUACCCUUAGGAAAAGAAAUCAACCGAGAUUCCCCAAGUAGCGGCGAGCGAACGGGGAUUAGCCCUUAAGUCUUUGGGGUGUUAGUGGAAUGUGUUGGAAAGCACAGCGGCACAGGGUGAUAGCCCCGUACACGUAAACUAACCAGAGAUGAAAUCGAGUAAGGCGGCACACGUGAUAUGUUGUCUGAAUAUGGGGGGACCAUCCUCCAAGGCUAAAUACUCCUGACUGACCGAUAGUGAACCAGUACCGUGAGGGAAAGGCGAAAAGAACCCCUGUGAGGGGAGUGAAAUAGAACCUGAAACCGUAUACGUACAAGCAGUGGAAGCGGU